CCGGAUUUAUUGGGUGCAAAGGGUGCGUAGGUGGGCUUAUAAGUCAGCGGUGAAAUCCCCCGGCUCAACCAGGGAAUUGCCGUUGAUACUGUUAGCCUUGAGUACAGUUGAAGUGGGCGGAAUGUAGCAUGUAGCGGUGAAAUGCAUAGAUAUGCUACAGAACACCAAUAGCGAAGGCAGCUCACUAAGUUGUAACUGACACUAAUGCACGAAAGCGUGGGGAUCAAACAGGAUUAGAUACCCUGGUAGUCCACGCUGUAAACGAUGAUCACUCGUUGUUGGCGAUAUACAGUCAGCGACUGAACGAAAGUAUUAAGUGAUCCACCUGGGGAGUACGAUCGCAAGGUUGAAACUCAAAGGAAUUGACGGGGGCCCGCACAAGCGGUGGAGCAUGUGGUUUAAUUCGAUGAUACGCGAGGAACCUUACC
RNAcentral lists this ribosomal RNA (428 nucleotides) under uncultured Bacteroidota bacterium. RNAcentral describes it as "bacterial SSU rRNA". It matches the Rfam family "Bacterial small subunit ribosomal RNA", at positions 545 to 975 of the family's 1533-position model. Lineage: Bacteria; Pseudomonadati; Bacteroidota. The record is from RNAcentral.